RNAcentral lists this ribosomal RNA (252 nucleotides) under uncultured bacterium. Its description in RNAcentral is "partial 16S ribosomal RNA". It matches the Rfam family "Bacterial small subunit ribosomal RNA", at positions 524 to 776 of the family's 1533-position model. The record is from RNAcentral.
GACAGAGGGUGCAAACGUUGUUCGGAAUUACUGGGCGUAAAGCGAGUGUAGGCGGUUUGCUAAGUCGGAUGUGAAAGCCCCGGCUCAACCCGGGAAGUGCACUCGAAACUGGCAGGCUAGAGUACUGGAGAGGUUGGUGGAAUUCUCGGUGUAGAGGUGAAAUUCGUAGAUAUCGAGAGGAACACCGGUGGCGAAGGCGGCCAACUGGACAGAUACUGACGCUGAGACUCGAAAGCGUGGGGAGCAAACAGG